UACGUAGGGUGCAAGCGUUAAUCGGAAUUACUGGGCGUAAAGCGUGCGCAGGCGGCUUUGCAAGUCAGAUGUGAAAUCCCCGGGCUUAACCUGGGAACUGCAUUUGAGACUGCAUGGCUGGAGUGCGGGAGAGGGGGGUGGAAUUCCGCGUGUAGCAGUGAAAUGCGUAGAUAUGCGGAGGAACACCGAUGGCGAAGGCAGUCCCCUGGGCCUGCACUGACGCUCAUGCACGAAAGCGUGGGGAGCAAACAGG
This 253-nucleotide ribosomal RNA is filed under the name uncultured bacterium. Its description in RNAcentral is "partial 16S ribosomal RNA". It matches the Rfam family "Bacterial small subunit ribosomal RNA", at positions 524 to 776 of the family's 1533-position model. The record is from RNAcentral.